Molecule: ribosomal RNA, 460 nt
Filed under: uncultured bacterium
Lineage: Bacteria
Description: partial 16S ribosomal RNA
Rfam family: Bacterial small subunit ribosomal RNA
Source: RNAcentral
CCUACGGGCGGCAGCAGUGAGGAAUAUUGGUCAAUGGACGAGAGUCUGAACCAGCCAAGUAGCGUGAAGGAUGACUGCCCUAUGGGUUGUAAACUUCUGUUAUAAAGGAAUAAAACGAGGCACGUGUGCCUUUUUGCAUGUACUUUAUGAAUAAGGAUCGGCUAACUCCGUGCCAGCAGCCGCGGUAAUACGGAGGAUCCGAGCGUUAUCCGGAUUGAUUGGGGUUAAAGGGAGCGUAGAUGGGUUGUUAAGUCAGUUGUGAAAGUCUGCGGCUCAACCGUAAAAUUGCAAUUGAUACUGGCAGUCUUGAGUACAGUUGAGGUAGGCGGAAUUCGUGGUGUAGCGGUGAAAUGCUUAGAUAUCACGAAGAACCCCGAUUGCGAAGGCAGCUUACUAAACUGUGACUGACAUUGAUGCUCGAAAGUGUGGGUAUCAAACAGGAUUAGAUACCCUGGUAGUC